AUUCUUCUUGCACAUAUACUAAAAUUUGAACGAUACCAGAGAAGAUUAGCAUGGCCCCUGCGCCAGGAUGACAGCCUGUAAAAAUUAAGUAACACACUGUAAAUAAUUUUA
Small nuclear RNA from Stegodyphus dumicola, 111 nucleotides. Lineage: Eukaryota; Metazoa; Arthropoda; Arachnida; Araneae; Eresidae. The record is from RefSeq and is a predicted model, not a curated record.